GAUCUAAAGCAAAAUUGGCCUUUGGGGUGGACGACAAUUAAAAAAAUGAAUUGUUACAAAAAUGAGUCUAUAUUGGAGAACGUCCUCUCCCCAAAAUAGAGAAGACGUUAACCGCAGGUGUUCUCACGGUGUUAGCCAGACAGAGUGUGCUGCCUAAAUUAGCACUCGUACAAGGAGAAAUAAAUAUGGCGGAGGAGUUCCAAGUCCAGUGGUACACGACUUGGAAGAGGUGGGAGAUCAGGAGGACUGGUCCAAGAUCAUGAAGAGAGAAUCCAGUAGUUGAGAAGAGAACUUGAGGUCCAGUGGUACACGACUUGGAAGAGGUGGGAGAUCAGGAGGACUGGUCCAAGAUCAUGAAGAGAGAAUCCAGUAGUUGAGAAGAGAACUUGAGGAUUUUAUCGAAGGAGAAAUUCGAAAAUAAAUUAACAUUACAAAGCUGCAGUGAACUCAGAUUCUACGGUAUACGAAACUGUAUCAGGCACAAAACACAAACUGAUGUUACUGAGAAUACCCCCUGUCCAUUUACCCCACAAUCUGUAGAACUACUCCUUGAAAGCAGAAAGGGCAGCAAAGACGUUUACCAAACUCUCUUUAAACCGGCUAAGAAUAGAAAAAUUGAAAAAAGGUGGAACUUGAAAUUAAACACUGAUACAAAGUAUGAAAUUGUAAAUAGUAACUGUUUUAGGUCUACAAAUGAAACCAAACUCCAAUGAUUUCAGUAUCGGACAAUACACAGAAUCUUGCCGGUAAAAUCAUACUUGAAAACUAUUGGUGUGGAAGAGGACGAUGACUGCCCAUAUUGUGGUGAAGAUAAGGAGAAUAUUUCACAUAUUUUGUUUCAUUGUGCAAGAAGUAAAGACAUCUGGUGGGACUUAAAAAAAUCAUAUCUUUACCAGAACGGAUAAUGAGGUCAUUCUUUAAGGAGAAAAUACCCUUUUUGGUUUUCCUUCUAACUUUGUUAGUCCAAUAAACUUUAUUAUAAUAGCUACUAAAUUUUAUAUUAACCGGUGCACAAAAAGAAAGAGAAUAUGCAGCUUUCAUCGCUUCUCAAUUUUUUGAAAGAAAAAUAUACCACAGGGAGAUACAUCUCAUCAAAAAAACUAUGGGGUAUUUGGAGCAACAUUAUUCAAUGACCAAAUUAUGAAAAUUGUGGUGUUCAUACAUUUUCAAAUAUUUUAUUUUGGCAGUAAGCUAUUGCACAUAUCAAUGCAGAAAUGACAGACAUAAAAGCGAACAUUUUUUU
Molecule: long non-coding RNA, 1243 nt
Organism: Lingula anatina
Lineage: Eukaryota; Metazoa; Brachiopoda; Lingulata; Lingulida; Lingulidae
Source: RefSeq, a predicted model, not a curated record